Molecule: small nuclear RNA, 347 nt
Filed under: Octodon degus (degu)
Lineage: Eukaryota; Metazoa; Chordata; Mammalia; Rodentia; Octodontidae
Description: 7SK RNA (ENSODEG00000023075.1)
Rfam family: 7SK RNA
About the family: 7SK was discovered as an abundant small nuclear RNA in the mid-70s but a possible function has only recently been suggested. Two independent studies have found that 7SK RNA binds the CDK9/cyclin T complex (known as elongation factor P-TEFb).
Source: RNAcentral
GGAUGUGAGGGCGAUCCAGUUGCGACAUCUGUCACCCCAUUGAUCGCCAGGGUUGAUUCAGCUAAUCUGGUUGGCUAGGCGGGUGUCCCCUUCCUCCCUCAGCGAUCCAUGUGCAUCCCUCCCAAAGCUGCACACUCGGUUGAAGAGGACGACCGCCCCCAUUAGAGGAGGACCAUUCCUUGGUCACGGGCAUACGAGUAACUGCACUCCCCUGCUAGAACCUCCAAACAAGCUCUCAAGAAAUAAUCUCUCAGGUCUAAAAAGAAAUGACAACAAUUGUGAAAGAAUUGCUAAGCAUUGUUAAAGAAGAUACAGGGAAAAAAAUAGAGAAUAGAAAAUUGAUAUAU